CAGGACGAACGCUGGCGGCGUGCCUAAUACAUGCAAGUCGAACGGCUUUUCUAUGGAAGCUUGCUUCCACUGAGAAGAUAGUGGCGAACGGGUGAGUAACACGUGGGUAACCUGCCCAUAAGAGGGGGAUAAUAUCCGGAAACGGGUGCUAAUACCGCAUAGUUUUCUUGAUCGCAUGAUCGGGAAAGGAAAGACGGCCUUUGUGCUGUCGCUUAUGGAUGGACCCGCGGCGUAUUAGUUAGUUGGUGAGGUAACGGCUCACCAAGACGAUGAUACGUAGCCGACCUGAGAGGGUGAUCGGCCACAUUGGGACUGAGACACGGCCCAAACUCCUACGGGAGGCAGCAGUAGGGAAUCUUCCGCAAUGGACGAAAGUCUGACGGAGCAACGCCGCGUGAGUGAAAGAAGGUUUUCGGAUCGUAAAACUCUGUUGUCAGAGAAGAACAAGUUGGAGAGUAACUGCUCCAGCCUUGACGGUAUCUGACCAGAAAGCCACGGCUAACUACGUGCCAGCCGCCGC
RNAcentral lists this ribosomal RNA (520 nucleotides) under uncultured bacterium. RNAcentral describes it as "bacterial SSU rRNA". It matches the Rfam family "Bacterial small subunit ribosomal RNA", at positions 25 to 518 of the family's 1533-position model. The record is from RNAcentral.